CUCAACCCACCACUGCUAGGUUGGCCUGGCUCCCUUGUGCUCUCCACAUGUGGCCCCGCAUGGCAUGGUGUACCUCCUGUCUCUGGGGCUUGUUGACCAGCCAGCAUUGAGUCACCGUAAUCUUCUAGGUCAGACAGGAAAAGAAUUGACGUCGUUACAAAAUACCACUGCGUAAGUGUCUUUGAGAAAAUGGCAGCCAAGUGUACACAGUUGGGCAAUGAGAGGCGAUGGGCAACAGUCCCUGAGCAGGUCCGUUCUUUGGAAGUGACUGUGCAAUACUUCAUCCUGUCCUGCCACCAUCAGUCCUCAUCCUUUACCUCUGCAAGUUACACCGAAGUUCUUCAGGUGGUAGCUGAUGAGAGCAGUAACACAGGAAGUUGCCCAGCUGGGGAUGAAGACACAAGAGCCUACUGCAGAACCACAGCUUCUCAGACCUUUGUACGUGCACAAGCCCUCUGUCUCACCUCCAAUAGAAAGCCAUCCAUCCCCUGUGGGAAUAUUUCUCCCGGGGUAACAACUUUACUAGGAAACUCAGCUAAGAGGCACAUUAACUGUCCAGCAGCCUAUUGGGAAGAGUGGUAGAGGGGGCGAUGUUAAGUCAGGAGGAGAUCGUGUGUGUGGACCAGGAGAAAUACAGCCUUUCAUGACAUUGAGCAUUGUGAGAAGAGUGAGAACACAUUUUCAGAUCAUCAGAAAUGAUUACCAAUUGAAAAGAACGCAGUGUUGCCUUUGCCAUAAUGAGAGGGGCUGAGAGGGCAGCUACAGCAAGGAUGUGGAGAGAAGCAGGGACAGUGAGUCUCCAGCAGCAGGGAGAACAGGGGCCACCCAGACCAGGAGACAGCAUCUAGAGGACUGGGGACAGUGGGCUAUUGCUCUGGCAUCUUCAUUUUCUGUUCCCUUCCACCCACUAGGCAGCCUUUGAAUCUUGAUUUAGCUUCCCUAGUAGACUUUCCUCCUGAAAAGACACAGUUCCCCUUAGAAAAAAAUGCAUGGCCUUUCUGUCUCAGACCAGUUUCAUUUGUUUGCACAGUAUAAGCCAGAUUUCCCCUAGAACCUGAUUAUCCUGGGUAAGCUGAAAAGCCAAAGUGAUAUGACCAGAGCUUGGCAACUCUUCAGAUAUGAGGGAUAAACGUUGAAGAAAGAGUCAAAGAUAACAUUAAAUUUCUAAGCCAGAGUUCCCAGAAGGAUGAUAUACUGCAUACAGAAUAGGAAAAGGUAGAAUCUAUCAAAGUAUUGACCUUCAGGCCUUCCCUCACCACCAACCCUCUAUCUUAAUAUCUUGUGGUGGAGGGUCUGUUGGAAAUAGUCUGUAAUUUCAGGGGCCAUAUUUCACUUCCACAUUCAUUUAAUAAUAAUUAUGUAUUAGGUGCUUACCACGUGCAGGACACUGAAAUGGAUGUUAUGAGAUUGUACAAGGAUGAAAGACUUAGCAUAUCAUCCAAGAAGCACAUUAGAAUUGCGUAGGGAAUAUAAGGCACAUGUAUAAGUAAUGGAAAAUGCAAAUGUAUUUGAUGCUGUCAGCUACAAAUAAGAGAAAAUUCCAACUUUUAAUUUGAUUCAAAGAACAAAAUAAAUGUAUUGUCUCACUUACCAAGAAACCUAGAAAUACGGUGAUUCUGCGAUUGGUUAAUAUAACAGCCUCAGAAUGUCCUCAUGGAUGCAGGUUCUGUCCAUCUUUCCCCUCUGCUAUCUAGGUACGUUGGCCUUGGUCCUCAAGCUUGUCCCCUCACAGACACAAGAGGGCCACAGUUCCAGUCAUUA
Molecule: long non-coding RNA, 1761 nt
Filed under: Equus caballus (horse)
Lineage: Eukaryota; Metazoa; Chordata; Mammalia; Perissodactyla; Equidae
Description: lncRNA (ENSECAG00000051069.1)
Source: RNAcentral